RNAcentral lists this ribosomal RNA (471 nucleotides) under uncultured Pelotomaculum sp. Its description in RNAcentral is "bacterial SSU rRNA". It matches the Rfam family "Bacterial small subunit ribosomal RNA", at positions 910 to 1382 of the family's 1533-position model. The record is from RNAcentral. Lineage: Bacteria; Bacillati; Bacillota; Clostridia; Eubacteriales; Desulfotomaculaceae.
UUGACGGGGCCGCACAAGCGGUGGAGCAUGUGGUUAAUUCGACGCAACGCGAAGAACCUUACCAGGGCUUGACAUCCCCUGACCGCGUAUGAAAGUACGUUUUCACCCUCGGGUGACAGGGAGACAGGUGGUGCAUGGUUGUCGUCAGCUCGUGUCGUGAGAUGUUGGGUUAAGUCCCGCAACGAGCGCAACCCCUACGUUUAGUUGCUAACAGGUGAAGCUGAGCACUCUAGACGAACUGCCGUUGACAAAACGGAGGAAGGUGGGAUGACGUCAAAUCAUCAUGCCCCUUAUGUUCUGGGCUACACACGUGCUACAAUGGCCGGUACAGACGGAGGCGAAGCCGCGAGGCGGAGCAAAUCCGAAAAAGCCGGUCUCAGUUCGGAUUGCAGGCUGCAAUUCGCCUGCAUGAAGUCGGAAUCGCUAGUAAUCGCAGGUCAGCAUACUGCGGUGAAUACGUUCCCGGGCCUU